RNAcentral lists this long non-coding RNA (1036 nucleotides) under Urocitellus parryii (Arctic ground squirrel). RNAcentral describes it as "lncRNA (ENSUPAG00010009271.1)". The record is from RNAcentral. Lineage: Eukaryota; Metazoa; Chordata; Mammalia; Rodentia; Sciuridae.
CUGGAUGGAGGGCAGGGCCACAUCGGCCUCCGCCGUAGGCGCCUUCACCUCCAUGGACGUGUCCAAGGUCUUGCUGGGGGUAGACACACUGAAGGAGGGCAUGUUGAACUUGGGCAUUUUGAACUUGCUGUCUUUGGUGGCCACUUCCUUGUCUGCCAGGGCCAGGUCCCCCUCCAGCUUAGCACUGUGGGCCUGUAUGUGCACCUGCCCAGAGGGCAACUCCAUGUCCAGGUCCGGGGCACUCACUUCACCCUUGGUGCCUUUCACCUCUAGCUUGGGGCCCUUGAUGUCCAACUGGGGCCCCUUGAGGUCCACCUUAGGCWUCUUGAUGCUGGGCAUCUGCCCCUGGGGCACUUUCCCCUUCAGGCUGGCUCCAUUAGCAGGGGCCGCCUGCAGCUCUUCGUUAGGGAGGGUGGACUCAGGGAGGGUCACGUCCACCUGUCCAGCCAUGUCCCCCAAUUCGGCAGGGGGCAGCUGGAUGCUGAUAUCAGAGGUUGUGAGGUCACCCUGGAUGGAGGGCAGCGCCACAUCAACCUCCACCUUGGGUGCCUUCACCUCCAUGGACAUGUCCAAUGUCUUUCCGGGGGCAGAGAUGCCGAAGGACGGCAUCUUGAACUUGGGCAUUUUGAACUUGCUGUCUCUGGUGGCCACAUCCUUGUCUGCCAGGGCCAGGUCCGCCUCCAGCUUGGCACCAGGGGCCUCUAUGUCUACCUGCACAGAGGGCAGCUCCAUGUCAAAGUUGGGGACACUCACCUCGACCUUGGGCUCUUUUAUGUCCAGUAUGGGGCCCUUGAUGUCCACCUGGGGGCCUUUGAGGUCCACCUUGGGCAUCUUGAUGCUGGGCAUCUGCACCUUGGGCAGGUGCCCCUUCAGACUGGCUCCAGCAGGAGGGGCCACCGGUAGCUCUCCCUUGGGCAGGGUGGCCUUGGGUAGGGUCAAGUCCACCUGUCCAGUCCCAGCCUCUAGGUCGGCAGUGGGCAUCUGGAUGCUGAUAUCAGAGGUUUUGAGGUCACUCUGGAUGGAAGGCAGGGCCACA